UAAUCUUCUGGUAAAAAUUUACAUGCAACUGUUAUUUUUUUAGAUACUUACAACAGUUUAUGUAAGAACAAAAACUUAAAAGGUUAAAAUAUCAUCAAGGGAUAGCUUGCAAAAUAGUUUAUAGUCUCAUAAAACAAAAAAUUAACCUAAAGCUUUGAGAAAAAUAAUAUUUCUAAGAAUUAAUAUGAAACCUGAUUGAUCAACAAAAUAAAGAAAGAUUAAAUAAAAUUGCUGAUCAAAUCUUCAUUGUCAAAGAUGGGCUUGUAAAUAUUACGGACAUGCAACAUAUGACUAACUAUGAUUUUGCUAUCAAAUACUACAGGCCUAGUAAUUCCUGCAGUAUGCCCGAGGAGGUCCCUUUGCCUAACUAGAAUUUCGCAAAUAAAUUGACAAAUCAUGCUAAGACUAAAGCAAUUUCAUGCUAUGUAUCUAAUAAGCAAAGCAACAAACAAAACUCAAGUUGUAGAAUUCAGGAAAAGCUUUUUUAAAAAAAAAAUGGAAGAAUUUAGAAGAGGGCC
Molecule: long non-coding RNA, 518 nt
Filed under: Capsicum annuum
Lineage: Eukaryota; Viridiplantae; Streptophyta; Magnoliopsida; Solanales; Solanaceae
Description: long non-coding RNA (CANN_LNC007988)
Source: RNAcentral